This 283-nucleotide long non-coding RNA is filed under the name Elaeis guineensis (African oil palm). Its description in RNAcentral is "long non-coding RNA (EGUI_LNC049757)". Lineage: Eukaryota; Viridiplantae; Streptophyta; Magnoliopsida; Arecales; Arecaceae. The record is from RNAcentral.
UGGGGUCGACCCUCGCGAGUCUCUUCCAUUUUUCAACAACUGUAAGUGAACCCCCGUCACUUCGCCCGGACUCCUACGGGAGCCGGGCUCCGUCCACGAUUUCUACAGCAAGGGAGACUUCGCCCGGACUCCUAUGGGAGCCGGGCUCCGUCCACAAUUUCUACAGCAAGGAAGACUUCGCCCGGACUCCUACGGGAGCCGGGCUCCGUCCGCGAUUUCUGCAGCAAGGAAGACUUCGCCCGGACUCCUACGGGAGCCGGGCUCCGUCCGCGAUUUCUGCAGC